UGUAAGCGUAUACCAAAGUUGUUGCAGUUAAAACGCUCGUAGUCGGACUUUGGCAGUUCCGGAUGUGUGCACGUCGUGUGCGCACUUCGCGGGGAUUGCUUUUGUGGUCUUGCGUAGGAUGAGGCACUUUUAUUAGUGAACGUCCUCACGCAACCACUUUUUACUGUGAGAAAAUCAGAGUGCUCAAAGCAGGCAUUUGCCGUGAAUGUAUUAGCAUGGAAUAAUAGAAUAGGACUUGGUUCUAUUUUGUUGGUUUGUUGGGACUGAGUAAUGAUUAAGAGGGACAGUUGGGGGCAUUUGUAUUUCGGUGCUAGAGGUGAAAUUCCUAGAUUACCGAAAGACAAACUGCUGCGAAAGCGUCUGCCAAGGAUGUUUUCAUUGA
Molecule: ribosomal RNA, 382 nt
Filed under: uncultured eukaryote
Lineage: Eukaryota
Description: partial 18S ribosomal RNA
Rfam family: Eukaryotic small subunit ribosomal RNA
Source: RNAcentral